AAUGAACGCUGGCGGCAGGCCUAAAACAUGCAAGUCGAACGCUGUAGCAAUACAGAGUGGCGCACGGGUGAGUAACAUGUGGGAAUAUGCCUUUUGGUACGGAACAACUUUUGGAAACGAAAGCUAAUACCGUAUGGUCCCUUCGGGGUAAAGAUUUAUCGCCAAAAGAUUAGCCCGCACUAGAUUAGCUAGUUGGUAAGGUAACGGCUUACCAAGGCGACGAUCUAUAGCUGUUCUGAGAGGAAGAUCAGCCACACUGGGACUGAGACACGGCCCAG
Molecule: ribosomal RNA, 278 nt
Filed under: uncultured bacterium
Lineage: Bacteria
Description: partial 16S ribosomal RNA
Rfam family: Bacterial small subunit ribosomal RNA
Source: RNAcentral